GAUAAACGCUAGCGGCAGGCUUAACACAUGCAAGUCGAGGGGCAGCAUAGAUUGUAGCAAUACAAUUGGUGGCGACCGGCGCACGGGUGCGUAACGCGUAUGCAACCUACCCGUCACAGGGGGAUAAUCCGGAGAAAUCUGGUCUAAUACCCCAUAACAUAUGGAUCGGCAUCGGUUCAUGUUGAAAUUUUCGGAGGUGACGGAUGGGCAUGCGUAGCAUUAGCUUGUUGGUGAGGUAACGGCUCACCAAGGCGACGAUACUUAGGGGGACUGAGAGGUUUUCCCCCCACACGGGUACUGAGACACGGACCAGACCCCUACGGGAGGCAGCAGUGAGGAAUAUUGGUCAAUGGGCGCAAGCCUGAACCAGCCACGCCGCGUGCAGGAUGACGGCUCUAUGAGUUGUAAACUGCUUUUGUACGAGGGUAAAGUGGGUUACGUGUAACCUUUUGAAAGUAUCGUACGAAUAAGGAUCGGCUAACUCCGUGCCAGCAGCCGCAGUAA
RNAcentral lists this ribosomal RNA (504 nucleotides) under uncultured bacterium. Its description in RNAcentral is "partial 16S ribosomal RNA". It matches the Rfam family "Bacterial small subunit ribosomal RNA", at positions 28 to 523 of the family's 1533-position model. The record is from RNAcentral.